Molecule: unclassified non-coding RNA, 234 nt
Filed under: Dothideomycetes sp.
Lineage: Eukaryota; Fungi; Ascomycota; Dothideomycetes
Description: partial contains 5.8S ribosomal RNA, internal transcribed spacer 2, and large subunit ribosomal RNA
Source: RNAcentral
CGCACAUUGCGCCCUUUGGUAUUCCGAGGGGCACGCCUGUUCGAGCGUCAUUUAAACCAUCAAGCCCAGCUUGGUCUUGGACCUGGUCGAGCGACCUGUCCGUAACCCUUUGGCGGUGCAGUCCGGCUUCAAGCGUAGCAGAAUUUUCGCUUCAGGAGCCCGCGGCGGUACCUGCCAGGAAAUUACCCUCUAAAGUUUGACCUCGGAUCAGGUGGGGAUACCCGCUGAACUUAA